AAAGUCGUAACAAGGUUUCCGUAGGUGAACCUGCGGAAGGAUCAUUAUCAUAAUCCUACCAUUAUCAACCAACCGUGAACUGUUAACUUGUUUGUCGUUUUUUGGUUUACGCUUGUUUUUUCAAGUGUUUUUAGCUGGGUUUACUCUCGGUUAAAUUUAUAAACUAAAAAACAUUAUUUUAACCCCUUUUAAUAACAUUUGUUUGAUGCAUGUGUUUCCUCCCUAGCCUAAAAAACUAGGAUGAAACCAAUCUUGUUUCUAAUGAAACUUUGAACAACUCUUAGCAACGGAUCUCUAGGCUCUC
Molecule: unclassified non-coding RNA, 304 nt
Filed under: Basidiomycota sp.
Lineage: Eukaryota; Fungi; Basidiomycota
Description: partial contains small subunit ribosomal RNA, internal transcribed spacer 1, and 5.8S ribosomal RNA
Rfam family: Eukaryotic small subunit ribosomal RNA (bases 1-47)
Source: RNAcentral